This 214-nucleotide ribosomal RNA is filed under the name uncultured bacterium. RNAcentral's name for it is "partial 16S ribosomal RNA". It matches the Rfam family "Bacterial small subunit ribosomal RNA", at positions 118 to 335 of the family's 1533-position model. The record is from RNAcentral.
UGGGCAAUCUGCCCUUCACAUCGGAAUAACCAUUGGAAACGAUGGCUAAUACCGAAUAUGACUUCGGAUCGCAUGAUCUGAAGUGGAAAGCUCCGGCGGUGAAGGAUGAGCUCGCGGCCUAUCAGCUUGUUGGUGAGGUAAUAGCUCACCAAGGCGAUGACGGGUAGCCGGCCUGAGAGGAUGACCGGCCACACUGGGACUGAGACACGGCAGA